Molecule: ribosomal RNA, 435 nt
Filed under: Blastocystis sp.
Lineage: Eukaryota; Bigyra; Opalinata; Blastocystidae
Description: SSU rRNA
Rfam family: Eukaryotic small subunit ribosomal RNA
Source: RNAcentral
UAAAUCACAAUGCGGGACUAUACGUCUUGCAAUUGGAUUGAGAACAAUGUACAACUCUUAUCGAUAAGCCAUUGGAGGGCAAGUCUGGUGCCAGCAGCCGCGGUAAUUCCAGCUCCAAUAGCGUAUAUUAACGUUGUUGCAGUUAAAAAGCUCGUAGUUGAAGUGUGGGUGAUCGCUGUUGUGAGACUUCGGUCUCUCGACAGUAAGUCACCCCCUUCCAGUAUCCAGUAGUGGGUAUUCAGUUACUUACUAUUGUGUGUUGGUCCUUUACUGUGAGAAAAUUAGAGUGUUCAAAGCAGGCGUUUGCUUGAAUAGAUUAGCAUGGAAUAAUAAUUGAAGGCUUUCGUGUUCGAUUUGAUUGGUUUGUUCAUGGAAGCAAGGUUAAAAGGAACAGUUGGGGGUAUUCAUAUUCACUAGUUAGAGGUGAAAUUCUCG